GGGUUGUGAGGUUAAGCGACUAAGCGUACACGGUGGAUGCCCUGGCAGUCAGAGGCGAUGAAGGACGUGCUAAUCUGCGAAAAGCGUCGGUAAGGUGAUAUGAACCGUUAUAGCCGGCGAUGUCCGAAUGGGGAAACCCAGUGCAAUUCGUUGCACUAUCGUUAACUGAAUACAUAGGUUAACGAGGCGAACCGGGGGAACUGAAACAUCUAAGUACCCCGAGGAAAAGAAAUCAACCGAGAUUCCCCCAGUAGCGGCGAGCGAACGGGGAGCAGCCCAGAGUCUGAAUCAGCUUGUGUGUUAGUGGAACGGUCUGGAAAGUCCGACGGUACAGGGUGAUAGUCCCGUACACCAAAAUGCACAGGUUGUGAACUCGAAGAGUAGGGCGGGACACGUGGUAUCCUGUCUGAAUAUGGGGGGACCAUCCUCCAAGGCUAAAUACUCCUGACUGACCGAUAGUGAACCAGUACCGUGAGGGAAAGGCGAAAAGAACCCCGGCGAGGGGAGUGAAAAAGAACCUGAAACCGUGUACGUACAAGCAGUGGGAGCACCUUCGGGUGUGACUGCGUACCUUUUGUAUAAUGGGUCAGCGACUUAUAUUCUGUAGCAAGGUUAACCGUAUAGGGGAGCCGCAGGGAAACCGAGUCUUAACUGGGCGUUAAGUUGCAGGGUAUAGACCCGAAACCCGGUGAUCUAGCCAUGGGCAGGUUGAAGGUUGGGUAACACUAACUGGAGGACCGAACCGACUAAUGUUGAAAAAUUAGCGGAUGACUUGUGGCUGGGGGUGAAAGGCCAAUCAAACCGGGAGAUAGCUGGUUCUCCCCGAAAGCUAUUUAGGUAGCGCCUCGUGAACUCAUCUUCGGGGGUAGAGCACUGUUUCGGCUAGGGGGUCAUCCCGACUUACCAACCCGAUGCAAACUACGAAUACCGAAGAAUGUUAUCACGGGAGACACACGGCGGGUGCUAACGUCCGUCGUGAAGAGGGAAACAACCCAGACCGCCAGCUAAGGUCCCAAAGUCAUGGUUAAGUGGGAAACGAUGUGGGAAGGCACAGACAGCCAGGAUGUUGGCUUAGAAGCAGCCAUCAUUUAAAGAAAGCGUAAUAGCUCACUGGUCGAGUCGGCCUGCGCGGAAGAUGUAACGGGGCUAAACCAUGCACCGAAGCUGCGGCAGCGACACUAUGUGUUGUUGGGUAGGGGAGCGUUCUGUAAGCCUGCGAAGGUGACCUGUGAGGGUUGCUGGAGGUAUCAGAAGUGCGAAUGCUGACAUAAGUAACGAUAAAGCGGGUGAAAAGCCCGCUCGCCGGAAGACCAAGGGUUCCUGUCCAACGUUAAUCGGGGCAGGGUGAGUCGACCCCUAAGGCGAGGCCGAAAGGCGUAGUCGAUGGGAAACAGGUUAAUAUUCCUGUACUUGGUGUUACUGCGAAGGGGGGACGGAGAAGGCUAUGUUAGCCGGGCGACGGUUGUCCCGGUUUAAGCAUGUAGGCUGGUUGUCCAGGCAAAUCCGGAUAAUCAAGGCUGAGGUGUGAUGACGAGGCACUACGGUGCUGAAGUAACAAAUGCCCUGCUUCCAGGAAAAGCCUCUAAGCAUCAGGUAACAUCAAAUCGUACCCCAAACCGACACAGGUGGUCAGGUAGAGAAUACCAAGGCGCUUGAGAGAACUCGGGUGAAGGAACUAGGCAAAAUGGUGCCGUAACUUCGGGAGAAGGCACGCUGGUGUGUAGGUGAAGUCCCUGCGGAUGGAGCUGAGACCAGUCGAAGAUACCAGCUGGCUGCAACUGUUUAUUAAAAACACAGCACUGUGCAAACACGAAAGUGGACGUAUACGGUGUGACGCCUGCCCGGUGCCGGAAGGUUAAUUGAUGGGGUUAUCCGUAAGGAGAAGCUCUUGAUCGAAGCCCCGGUAAACGGCGGCCGUAACUAUAACGGUCCUAAGGUAGCGAAAUUCCUUGUCGGGUAAGUUCCGACCUGCACGAAUGGCGUAAUGAUGGCCAGGCUGUCUCCACCCGAGACUCAGUGAAAUUGAACUCGCUGUGAAGAUGCAGUGUACCCGCGGCAAGACGGAAAGACCCCGUGAACCUUUACUAUAGCUUGACACUGAACAUUGAGCCUUGAUGUGUAGGAUAGGUGGGAGGCUUUGAAGCGUGGACGCCAGUCUGCGUGGAGCCAACCUUGAAAUACCACCCUUUAAUGUUUGAUGUUCUAACGUUGGCCCCUUAUCGGGGUUGCGGACAGUGUCUGGUGGGUAGUUUGACUGGGGCGGUCUCCUCCCAAAGCGUAACGGAGGAGCACGAAGGUUAGCUAAUCCUGGUCGGACAUCAGGAGGUUAGUGCAAUGGCAUAAGCUAGCUUGACUGCGAGCGUGACGGCGCGAGCAGGUGCGAAAGCAGGUCAUAGUGAUCCGGUGGUUCUGAAUGGAAGGGCCAUCGCUCAACGGAUAAAAGGUACUCCGGGGAUAACAGGCUGAUACCGCCCAAGAGUUCAUAUCGACGGCGGUGUUUGGCACCUCGAUGUCGGCUCAUCACAUCCUGGGGCUGAAGUAGGUCCCAAGGGUAUGGCUGUUCGCCAUUUAAAGUGGUACGCGAGCUGGGUUUAGAACGUCGUGAGACAGUUCGGUCCCUAUCUGCCGUGGGCGCUGGAGAAUUGAGGGGGGCUGCUCCUAGUACGAGAGGACCGGAGUGGACGCAUCACUGGUGUUCGGGUUGUCAUGCCAAUGGCACUGCCCGGUAGCUAAAUGCGGAAGAGAUAAGUGCUGAAAGCAUCUAAGCACGAAACUUGCCCCGAGAUGAGUUCUCCCUGAGACUUUAAGUCUCCUGAAGGAACGUUGAAGACGACGACGUUGAUAGGCCGGGUGUGUAAGCGCAGCGAUGCGUUGAGCUAACCGGUACUAAUGAACCGUGAGGCUUAACCUUACAACGCCGAAG
RNAcentral lists this ribosomal RNA (2923 nucleotides) under Klebsiella pneumoniae. RNAcentral describes it as "23S ribosomal RNA". It matches the Rfam family "Bacterial large subunit ribosomal RNA". The record is from RNAcentral. Lineage: Bacteria; Pseudomonadati; Pseudomonadota; Gammaproteobacteria; Enterobacterales; Enterobacteriaceae.